This is a regulatory RNA element of Sulfitobacter sp., 66 nucleotides long. It matches the Rfam family "L2-Alphaproteobacteria ribosomal protein leader". NCBI's taxonomy places the organism in Bacteria, Pseudomonadati, Pseudomonadota, Alphaproteobacteria, Rhodobacterales, Roseobacteraceae. The record is from Rfam.
GGGGACCUUCGGGGCCCUACAACCACGGCGACUUCGGUCGCUGACAAGCAAAACGGAAGACAGCAA